ACGUGGUUGCUAGAUGUUGAAACUAAAAUCCAGUUUCCUCUAAUUAAUACUUUGUUGAUCUUAGCAUGGAAUUUGCCUCUUGUAAUUGACAGGGAAUGAAACUGCUUCCAACUAGUCGGAAGAGUUCCCUUGGUCGAAUUCUAGUUAAGACCUGCAAAAAGAAUAAGCCAAAUAUUAAUUAGAUACUAAUUGUUCGUGUAAAUAUCAAAAGAGAUACAAUUAUCAUAAGUCAUUACCAGUUUUCAAUUCUCAUGUUCAUCAGGUCAUAGCUACCGGACUGACUACUUUUAGUGAACCAGAGUCUGAUCCGGUCUGGCAUUAUUUCAAUAUACAGCUUUAUGUUGGGGAUGCAUCUAAGAACUGGAAGUUGGUUCAGUCGAAAGGGAAUAGUCGAUUCUCUCUGAGAGCCAUCAGAAAAUCUGAUCUUGCUGGACUAUACUUCAACCGAGAAAUGGAAGGGUAUUGUAGAUUUCGAUGAUCAUCUUGACGAUAUAAGCAAGAAAGACUGGGCCAGCUGUAGCAGCAUGAUGGCAAAGUAGAACUAAAGAAGCAUGAUUUCUUGCACUAUUCUUAUCUGUAAAUGUUCUUCAUUAUUGAUUACUAAUGAGCUUGUACUGAUGUUUGUGCCUCGGCCAUUGAAAUUUUAUGUUAAUAUGUACUUUAUAAACGUGCUUUUAAUUUCUUAGUCAAUGCCCCAAUGGUCCUUAUGUUGAUUUCUGGCAAAAUCAUGGUGCUGUUGUACUUCCAUUGUAUAGUUGCAUUAUUAGUUAUUGAUAUCAUUGCCUUAAUGUGUACAGAUA
Arachis ipaensis is the source of this 800-nucleotide non-coding RNA. The record is from RefSeq and is a predicted model, not a curated record. Lineage: Eukaryota; Viridiplantae; Streptophyta; Magnoliopsida; Fabales; Fabaceae.